CGGCUGCUGAGCCAGCACGGGGCCAGGAAACACCCUUUGCCCACGCCGGUGAACGCCAGCGAGUGCCGGGCCUGGGGAAGGUCGCCCGCGAGAUAAGGGAUUCCUGCCGGGAGCCGGACCGAGGGUCAAGGGCAGCGGGUUCUGCCCGGCGUUCCCGGUGCUGCCGGCUCAGCGGCUUCUAAACCAGCCGGGGGACAGGGACGAGCCAACCGGGGAUGGCGGCGGCACGGGGACAAGGCUGGGGGACACCGUGAGAGCCGUCGCCGGCUGCGGCGGUGACGUAGACACCGGGUUGAGCUGUUUCGGUGGCGGCUCUCGGGGAGGAACCUUGCACCCAUGGAGGUGCGUGGGUUCACUGCCAGGUGCAGAAGUGAAACCCCGCGGCCAUGAGAAGCCGCACCAGACUUUCUUCUCCUCUCGGCAGUGCCGGAGCCGGGGUGGCGGCGGCAUGCCGACUGCGAGAGGGAGGGUGCCGGGGCUCAAUGUCGCAACCGGAGCCUCCGGCGCCCUCCGGACACUUUGUCCGUCUGCAUCGGGAAGAGAAAACAGUGGGAAGCCAGCGGCCAACAUCUUGCUAAGAGCCCUUCAGUUUCCAUCAGCGCAAAAAAUUCCCUCGCGUCAAAAAAAAACAAUAGAAAAAGAGGAAGCUGGGUGUUUCGGGGAGCUCAACUCCCCUUCCCCAUGCGUUUGGGAUGAGGUCACCAGGCUGACACUGCAGCAGCCGGCAACGUCUUAACCCACCCCCGGCCAGGCGACAGCGAGGUUAUGUGCCGGGGUGAUGGGAAAUCACGGUUUGGGUGCGUAAUGCUGAGCUCCCAUGAUUUGGGGGCGCAGGAGGGGACCCCCCUGGCUGCCCCCUCUCUCAGCUGGUGGUACCCAGCCCUGGCCCUGUAGCAGCUGGCAUGGCACUGGGGCUCAACCGUGG
Aquila chrysaetos chrysaetos is the source of this 925-nucleotide long non-coding RNA. RefSeq lists it as uncharacterized. The transcript is spliced from 2 exons. Lineage: Eukaryota; Metazoa; Chordata; Aves; Accipitriformes; Accipitridae. The record is from RefSeq and is a predicted model, not a curated record.